Molecule: ribosomal RNA, 550 nt
Filed under: uncultured bacterium
Lineage: Bacteria
Description: bacterial SSU rRNA
Rfam family: Bacterial small subunit ribosomal RNA
Source: RNAcentral
CGAUUUUGAUCCUGGCUCAGAACGAACGCUGGCGGCAGGCCUAACACAUGCAAGUCGAGCGCCCUGCUUGCAGUGCAGCGGCGGACGGGUGAGUAACGCGUGGGAACGUGCCUUUUAGUUCAGGAUAGCCACUGGAAACGGUGAGUAAUACUGGAUACGCCCUAAGGGGGAAAGAUUUAUCGCUAAAAGAUCGGCCCGCGUUGGAUUAGCUAGUUGGUGGGGUAAUGGCCUACCAAGGCGACGAUCUAUAGCUGGUCUGAGAGGAUGAUCAGCCACACUGGGACUGAGACACGGCCCAGACUCCUACGGGAGGCAGCAGUGGGGAAUAUUGGACAAUGGGGGCAACCCUGAUCCAGCCAUGCCGCGUGAGUGAAGAAGGCCCUAGGGUUGUAAAGCUCUUUCAGGUGUGAGGAUGAUGACAGUAGCACCAGAAGAAGCCCCGGCUAACUUCGUGCCAGCAGCCGCGGUAAUACGAAGGGGGCUAGCGUUGUUCGGAAUUACUGGGCGUUAAGGGCGUGUAGGCGGAUGAUCAAGCUAGGGGUGAAAGCCC